This 494-nucleotide ribosomal RNA is filed under the name uncultured bacterium. RNAcentral's name for it is "bacterial SSU rRNA". It matches the Rfam family "Bacterial small subunit ribosomal RNA", at positions 34 to 507 of the family's 1533-position model. The record is from RNAcentral.
CGCUGGCGGCGUGCCUAAUACAUGCAAGUCGAGCGGAAUGAUGAAGAAGCUUGCUUCUUCUGAUUUUAGCGGCGGACGGGUGAGUAACACGUGGGCAACCUACCUUGUAGAUUGGGAUAACUCCGGGAAACCGGGGCUAAUACCGAAUAAUCCAUUUUGCUUCAUGGCGAGAUGUUGAAAGACGGUUUCGGCUGUCACUAUAAGAUGGGCCCGCGGCGCAUUAGCUAGUUGGUAGGGUAAUGGCCUACCAAGGCGACGAUGCGUAGCCGACCUGAGAGGGUGAUCGGCCACACUGGGACUGAGACACGGCCCAGACUCCUACGGGAGGCAGCAGUAGGGAAUCUUCCGCAAUGGACGAAAGUCUGACGGAGCAACGCCGCGUGAGUGAAGAAGGUUUUCGGAUCGUAAAACUCUGUUGUUAGGGAAGAACACGUACGAGAGUAACUGCUCGUACCUUGACGGUACCUAACCAGAAAGCCACGGCUAACUACGUG